AUGAGAAUGUGGGGGGACUCUGUUCAAUCCCUCCUCGUGGCGUCUGGUACCAUUCUAAACGAGAUUCUUAUUUGGAAAUUGGUACCCGAAACCCUGAGUACUUCGUUAUUAAGCUCGGACGAGUUGGGUGCUACUGGUGUAGAUAACAGUGAAAAUGUUCAUCUUAGUGAUAAUAAAUACAUGGCUGUUCAUAUUGGAAGGCUGAAGGAACACGAAGGUUCAAUAUUUCGAAUAGCUUGGUCCUCUGAUGGAUCAAAGUUCAUGUCCGUUUCUGAUGAUCGCAGUGCUCGCAUGUGGAUGUUAAGUUGUCAGCCACAGGAUCUUACCAAUCAAACAGCCAAAAUUGAUGAUGUGGACAUUAUACCCAAACUGACACUUUUCGGACACAGUGCUAGAAUUUGGGAUUGUUGCAUAUCUGAUUCUAUAGUUAUAACUGCUGGUGAGGAUUGUACUUGCUGCAUUUGGGGCAUGGAUGGAAAGCUAAUCAAAACAUUCAAAGAACACAUUGGCCGAGGAUUAUGGCGAUGUUUAUAUAAUCCAAGCUCACUAGUUCUGAUCACCGCUGGGUUUGAUUCUGCAAUCAAAGUGCACCACCUAUGUAACUCCUCUUUUCAUGACAUAUUGGAAGAAAACGUGGCCCCAGAUGGUCUGAAAUACGAUUCUGAGGUGUUUGAAAUAUCUUCUCCUAUAGUAUCAGGACAGCAUGGUGCCUUGGAUAGCAAAAGUGAAUAUGUCCGAUGCUUACAUUUUGUGCAAGAAAAUGUUCUCUAUGUUGCCACAAACAAUGGAUAUCUGCAUCAUGCUGAGCUCUCUGAUACAAAAGAUCCAAGAUGGACUGAGGUUAUUCAGGUCACUGAGAAAGCACCAAUUAUAUGUAUGGAUGUAAUGACAGGGUGCUCAGACAUUUCUUUGGAUAAGGAGGAUAUAAUUGCCCUUGGAGACGGUCGAGGAAAUGUUACUAUCGUCCGUUUAAGCAGUCCCAGUCUUGAACCUAAAAUAGAUUUAUCUGUUACCUGGCCAGCUGAAAAGGAUAGGCAACUACUAGGACUAUACUGGUGCAAGUCCCUUGAAUGUAGCCACAUUUUCACAGCUGAUCCUAGAGGCGCUCUUAAGUUAUGGAACGUAAGGAAUGCCCUUUUGUCAAAUGGCCAUGCGAUUACUACAGCUCAGGAGGUUUCACUUGUUGCAAUGUUUGAAUCUCCCUUUGGGGCUCGAAUCAUGUGUUUAGAUGUAUCACUUCAGGAUGAGAUCCUUAUAACAGGUGAUAAGAAGGGUAACAUCGCUGCCUUUCCUUUUCAUAAAACAUUGGCAGCACAUGACAGCAGUGAGGCACAACAGAAGAUACCUUUACGUGACCGUUUUAAAGGAGCUCAUGGCAUUUCUAGUGUCACAAGUGUUCAGAUAAUCACCUCAGCUUCAGAUCAUAUUGAAAUCCACACUACUGGGGGAGACGGCUGUAUUUGCUUCUUCAAGUAUGGGAGACAUGUCAAAAAAGUUGAAUUUGUUGGAAUGAGACAAUUGAAAGAAUUAGGCACCAUUCAAUCCAUCUACGCAAAUCAUGCCUCUGGUAACCAAUUGGUUGGUACCUAUGCAAUAGGUUUCACCUCUGUGGAUUUUAUCAUUUGGGACCUUGAAAAUGAUACAAAGCUGGUUCAAAUAUCCUGCGGAGGAUGGCGGCGCCCUUACUCUUAUUAUCUUGGGACAGUCCCUGAGUAUCAAAACUGUUUUGCCUUCGUGAAGGACCACAGUAUUCAUGUCCACAGACACUGGGCACCAGCUCAAGAUAGGAAGCUGCUUCCUCAAGUUUUUCAUACCCAGUUCCAUGGAAGAGAAGUGCAUUCUCUUUGCUUCAUAGAUCCAGCAAGCUAUUCACAUCCUGAGAGGAGUACAGAUUUGUGGAUUGCAACCGGGUGUGAAGAUGGAACCGUCCGGCUUACAGGGUACUCGGCUAGUAGUGCUGGAAAAUGGUGCUCAUCCAAGCUGCUUGGGGAGCAUGUUGGCGGGUCAGCUGUGAGAGAUACGUGUUUCAUCCCAAAAACAUACACAUUAGCAGAUAAAUCGCGCAACUCUAGUGUCAGUUCUGCCGACACUUGGGUCGAAAACAAGGACACCACUUACAUAUUGAUAUCUGUUGGAUCAAAGCAAGUUCUGACGGCUUGGAUUCUAGAACCUAGGAUUGCAGAGAACAACAAGCAAGUGUGCUCGAGUGGUCUAGAUUUAGACACCAAGCAAGGCUCAGAAUGCUCAGACAAUAGUGAUUCAGCCGUUACAUUUCAGUGGCUUUCUACCCACAUGCCACCAAAGCUUGGCACCAAGAGGUUGAAAGCUGAUCAUGUAAAGCUGAACUUCGAGGAAGGCGGGAAAGGAAAUUCCUCUGCUCAACCCAAUCUGGCUAUUAUGGAUCAGAUGGAAAAUGACUGGCGUUACCUUUCUGUUACAGCAUUUCUUUUGAAACAUCCGGCUACCGAGUUGACAGUUUGUUUUGUGGUUGUUGCUUGCUCUGAUGCAACAGUUAUUGUCCGUGCGCUUCUUUUGCCUUCUCGGCUAUGGUUUGAUGUUGCCUUGUUGGUCCCACAGGCAUCACCAGUUCUUGUGCUACGGCAUAUUGUUGUCGCCUCUGGUGCCCACUGUGAAGGUGAUGUUUAUAAUGGCGAUAGGUACAUUAUUGUGAGUGGAUCUACAGAUGGUAGCAUCACAUUGUGGGACCUAACAGACACCAUUCAUGGCUUUAUGCAACUAGUAUCAGAGACUAAGCCGCACAUGGUUAUCGACUGCCAAAAGCGGCCCAAGACAGGAAGAGGGAGUCAGGGUGGUCGUCGUCGGUGGCGACCACUGGCAAACAGUUCUGUGAAAAAGGGUAACGAACAAGCAUUGCUCCCCAGUGAGAACAAUCUGAGUAGCUCGCGCGCUGCUGCAGAGAGUCCACAUGAAACUUCAGGAGUGGCAGAAACCGAGGCCAUAAAAAACACCGAGGACACAGUUUCAAGUACCCAGUCAUGUGAUAUACCUGAGCUGCAGCCAUUGCAGAUGUUCUCCGGUGUUCACCAGUCAGGCGUCAACUGCCUCCAUGUUUCAGAGAUGGAGCAGCGAUCAAGCUCUGCACCUGGCUUGUUUUACUGCAUCGUAAGUGGCGGUGAUGAUCAGGCGGUUCAGUGUUUUGUUUUCACAUUAGGACCCCCACAGGGCUGCUCAACUAAUACGUCAAACAUAAUCUCGCCUCCUGACAAAGGUGGAUUUCAAAUACUUGGCCAACACACGGUUCCAUCGGCUCACGGAUCAGCAGUGAAAGGUAUCUGGACGGACGGUGCCUGGGCUUUCUCCACCGGGCUUGAUCAGAGAAUCAGAUGUUGGAAGAUGGGCCCGUCCGGCAAAUUCAUGGAGCAUUCCCAUGUUAUCAUCAGCGUGCCCGAGCCGGAAACUCUGGAUGUUUUCCAUGACCGUGGGAGCGGGAUAUACCACAUCGCCGUUGCAGGAAGAGGGAUGCAGAUGGUUGAGUUCUCGCCGCCUGAAGACGACUCGAUGAAGAUAGCGUGA
Molecule: ribosomal RNA, 3534 nt
Filed under: Triticum aestivum (bread wheat)
Lineage: Eukaryota; Viridiplantae; Streptophyta; Magnoliopsida; Poales; Poaceae
Description: partial small subunit ribosomal RNA
Source: RNAcentral